Piliocolobus tephrosceles (Ugandan red Colobus) is the source of this 2941-nucleotide long non-coding RNA. RefSeq lists it as uncharacterized. The transcript is spliced from 2 exons. Lineage: Eukaryota; Metazoa; Chordata; Mammalia; Primates; Cercopithecidae. The record is from RefSeq and is a predicted model, not a curated record.
GGACACAGUUCCCAGAUGCAUCAUCACCUCAGGCUACUAGAAAUCAUCAUUCUGACACCACAAUCCUCUGACACACAGUUUCCCAACUCUAAUGUAAAUCAUUGAUUCAGACUAUAAAAUUGUAUUUUGAUGAGACUGUAAGUCCGUGUAAGCUUUUCCUUAUUUUUCAAGAUGCUCUGUCAAUAAAAAUACUAGUGAGAUGGUAUUUUAACCACGUAAUGUACAGUCAGUGCUUUACAUCAAGCUUAUCUAACCCACAGCCUGCAGUCCGCAUGCUCAGGACGACCUGGAAUGCAGCCCAACGCAAUCCCUACACUUUCUUAAAACAUUGAGGUCCUUUAUUUAUAAUUUUAACUCACCAACUGUCCUUAGUGUUGGUGUAUUUUAUGUGUGGCCUAAGACAGCUGUUCUUCCAUUGUGGCACAGGGAAGCCAAAAGAUUGGACAUCCCUGAUUUAAAUAAAACAUUCAAGACCAUGUUCCUAAAAUGUACCAUGUACUCGAACAGAUUAUUCGUGUCUUCUCUGGCCAGGUGUAAAUACCUGGCUCCUGUGUCAUCAUGGCUGAGCUUCACUGCCGUCAGGAACAGCUCGGGAACAGAUGUCACUUGAGUUAAUCAGAAAAACACAACCAGUUAAACUUAGACAAAAUGGCCUUUGAAAUGGUGAUCUUCGAUACACUGAGAAAACUGGCUUUUCUGCCUAAAAUAAGAUGAUGCCAGGAAGCCAGUAUUUCAGAGCUGGAGAGAACAGAACCAUCCUGUCCAAGUCCCUUAUCCUACAAACAAGGAAAGUAAGACUUAAAAAAGGCAGAUGAGAAUGUGUGUAUAUAUAUAUUUUUUGAGUGCUUAUUACUGGCUAGGUAUUUUCUAUUUUUUAAUUUUUUAUUAUUUUUUGGCUAGGCAUUUUCUAAUCAUGUCACAUAUACUCUGUGAGGGAGGUAUUCUCAUCCUCAUUUACAGAUGAAAAACCUGAGGCUCAGGGUGAUGACAUAAGCUGCCCAAAUCACAGAGCCAGGAUUCACCCUGGUGUCUGCCCUUCCCAUGGUACUGUGCCGCACCUAAGUAACACGGCACCCUUUCCAACAUCUGCUGAGUGCCCCCUGCUUUUGUGUACUGCACCUCAGUAACACAGCACCCCUUCCAACAUCGGCCGUGUGUCUCCUGUUUCUGUGCAUAUAAUCUCCUGUUGUACGCAGAACGGGCCUGCAGGGAGGGGAAAUGCUGGAGUGGGCUAGCUGGCGACAGCGGGGAGAGGCUCCAGGAUCAGUCUUUGCUUCUCCUAGUGUGGGAUGGAUUCUCGAUGGUAGCUGGAAGCACAAAGCUGGGGCUUCCAGAACAGCUGGAGGGGCUGGGAGGAUAGAAAUGCCCCCCAAAAAGAUGAAAGACUCCCCACUCCUGAGCGGGGUGGAAGGUCUUCUCCUACUUUAGGUAAGCCUCCUGGUAGUGUCCAUACUUCUCGGUAUGAAAGAAACUGUCUUGUCUUCCAGUCAUGCCAGCCGGCCCUCUCCCUCAAUCACAUACCACGUCCCUGUGAUCACCACACCACUUGCCACCCCCUCCGUCCAGGUGCCAUGAAUCACCUGACCAAGUGCACACAGCAAGUCGCUGGCAGAGGUGAGACCUCAGGUCUCCUCAGCCCAAUCUAGGGAGCCUGCCAUCCAACAGUCAUGCAUAAGCAGCCCACUAUGACCUGCAUCAUCUAGCGCUGUUAAAUUACUUGUUUCCAAGCUUACCAUGCUUUGUAACAGAUGAUCAAUGCAAUUAAAAUCAGCAGAUACAGUGAGAUGUCUGCUUUCUAAUAAUACAUAGUUUUAAUAAUAAUAGCGUUCAUGGUAGCUAUUUCUCAAACCAGAAACAUGACUUAUCGUAAGUUUCUAUGGCUGGAUACAGCGGCUCACACAUUUAAUCCCAGCACUUUGGAAGGCCAAGGUGAUAUGGUUUGGCUGCAUCCCCACCCAAAUCUCAUCUUGAAUUGUAGUUCCCAUAAUCCCCACACGUUGUGGGAGGGACCUGGUAGGAGGUAAUUGAUCAUGAGGGGGGUUCCCCCAUGUUAUUCUCGUGACAGUGAGUACGUUAUCACGAGAUCUGACAGUUUUAUAAGGGGCUGCCCCCUUCACUUGUCAUUCUCUUCCCUGCCACCCUGUGAAGAGGUGCCUUCCACCACGAUUGUAAGUUUCCUGAGGCCUCCCCAGCCAUGCAGAACUGCGUCCUCAAGAAAACCAAGUGCAGCUGGAGGGAGACGCCUGUGCCCGCUCCUGUGACCUUCCCAGCCAGCCUGGCUGCAGCGGCCUCUCGGCAGGCAUCUGUCUGGUGCUGCCUCCAUGCCCCUCCCAUCACCUGACGCUCCUGCUCCUGAAUCUUCACGCGUGUGCUCCGUGGAGCCACCUCACGGGCUCCCUGGGAACGGAUACAGGGUCUCACGCCGGUCAGAAUGCUCUUCUCUGUCCACUGAAUAGUCCAACACGGAAUCAUUCCUCUGUGAUUAUUGAUGCUUUGUUAUGUAGAACUGGAAUGAAGAAAAAGUGAAUUUAGACAUAACAGCCAUCAGGUUGAAGCUAGGUAAUUGCAUUAGGGAAUUAAAUGAGAGCAUUUGAGCUUGUCAAGUUCUAAUUCCACAUCUUCGUAUCCCCAUCACCCCAUAGCCAGUGUCUAUCACAGCCCUUGGUCAGGAGUUUCUUGAUAAAUGCUUAUUGAAUUGAACUGGACUGAGCUUAACAUUCCCACCCAGAGUUAGAAGCCAGUCCCCGAGCAAAUUGCAUUGAGAACGUGAGUUUGACGUCACUGUGGUAAGGGGUAUCCUACACGCCAUAAUUCCUAGUCAGUAUCGGGUAUUUAGUCAAAUAAACUCAAGUAUAGAGAAGCAUAGGCCCAUCUGGCGAAAGGGCAAGGUACGGUGCUUUAGGUCCAGGUCCCCAAUAUCAACUAUGAAAAUAAAAUGUUG